GUGUUCUCUCCUCCAACAUGCCAUACAAAAUCUCAUCCACCAGACAAAUCCUAAUCAUAGCACAUGCCCUUAUCUCCAAGGACAUCUAUUGCCUGUCGUUCAUCUCCUCCGAUCUAUCCUCCAAGACCAAAUCAGCCCCAUCUACACCAACAGAUCCUCCACCCUCACCUCCACAUGGUGAAACUUCCUUUAUCAUCAAACUUCUCAAAUCUCACCUUUACCCCACUGUUCUUCAUGAUCAACCCAGAUCGAAAAUAGCACACA
Molecule: long non-coding RNA, 264 nt
Filed under: Elaeis guineensis (African oil palm)
Lineage: Eukaryota; Viridiplantae; Streptophyta; Magnoliopsida; Arecales; Arecaceae
Description: long non-coding RNA (EGUI_LNC050229)
Source: RNAcentral